Molecule: ribosomal RNA, 832 nt
Filed under: marine metagenome
Description: bacterial SSU rRNA
Rfam family: Bacterial small subunit ribosomal RNA
Source: RNAcentral
AGAGUUUGAUCAUGGCUCAGAACGUACGCUGGCGGCACGCCUAACACAUGCAAGUCGAACGAAGUAGCAAUACUUAGUGGCAGACGGGUGAGUAACAUGUAGGUAUCUACCCUAUGGCCUGGAAUAACACGAGGAAACUUGUGCUAAUACCGGAUAAGUCUUUACGGAGAAAGCUUUAUGCACCAUUGGAUGAGCCUGCACUUGAUUAGUUUGUUGGUGGGGUAAUGGCCUACCAAGACUUUGAUCAAUAGCUGAUUUGAGAGGAUGAUCAGCCACAUUGGGACUGAGACACGGCCCAAACUCCUACGGGAGGCAGCAGUGGGGAAUCUUGCACAAUGGAGGAAACUCUGAUGCAGCGAUGCCGCGUGAGUGAAGAAGGCCCUUGGGUUGUAAAGCUCUUUCGUCGGGGAAGAAAAUGACUGUACCCGAAUAAGAAGGUCCGGCUAACUUCGUGCCAGCAGCCGCGGUAAUACGAAGGGACCUAGCGUAGUUCGGAAUUACUGGGCUUAAAGAGUUCGUAGGUGGUUGAAAAAGUUGGUGGUGAAAUCCCAGAGCUUAACUCUGGAACUGCCAUCAAAACUUUUCAGCUAGAGUAUGAUAGAGGAAAGCAGAAUUUCUAGUGUAGAGGUGAAAUUCGUAGAUAUUAGAAAGAAUACCAAUUGCGAAGGCAGCUUUCUGGAUCAUUACUGACACUGAGGAACGAAAGCAUGGGUAGCGAAGAGGAUUAGAUACCCUCGUAGUCCAUGCCGUAAACGAUGUGUGUUAGACGUUGGAAAUUUAUUUUCAGUGUCGCAGUGAAAACGAUAAACACACCGCCUGGGGAGUACGACCG